GCCAGGUGCAGUGCAUGUAAUCCCAGCACUUUGGGAGACUGAGAUGGGAAGAUCGCUUGAGGCCAGGAGUGCAAGACCAGCCUGGGCAACACAGCAAGACCUUGACUCUACUAAAAAAAAAAAAGGAUCCUUCAACUUCAACAAUAAUAACACGAGGGAAGUGAAGAAAAACACUUUCUAAGGAAAUCUCUCUCUGAGCUACCAUCCUGCUAGGGAGAGCCUGAAAGCAGAAUGCUGACUUGACUAGCUCUGGUCAAUGAAAGAAAUCACUAGUGGAAAGGCUACCAGGGGGCUUUCUCAAAAGAGAGGGACAGUAAACUGCAAGAUGAACAACUCAAUGCCAUCCAGGUCUGGAUGAGAAAGAACAGUCGAGAGACUGAGUUUCAGGAGUGGAAACACCCAAAGCAUCAUCUUCCACUUUCUUCUCCGGCUGCUAGGAAGAAGGGAAAAACACAGACCUUCUGAGGACCUGUGGAGCAAACCACUGGCUUCAGAAAAGCAAACAGGGACUUCCCUCUGCGCAGCAGGAAGCAGUUAGCCUAGUCGGAGGCUUGACUGAAGAAACAAAUGUAUCCACUGAUAAUGGGCAAGAGCCUGAGGCUCUGGAGCCAAGGGGGAACCCUAAAAAGCUGAUUCAAGUAAGAGAAGCAAGGAUCAUGCAAUUCCACAUGGCCACCUCGAAGCAGGAAUCCGUUAAUGAUAGUAAAGGACU
RNAcentral lists this long non-coding RNA (712 nucleotides) under Pan troglodytes (chimpanzee). RNAcentral describes it as "long non-coding RNA NONPTRT012580". Lineage: Eukaryota; Metazoa; Chordata; Mammalia; Primates; Hominidae. The record is from RNAcentral.